UAAGAAAUAAACACUUUCUUUUUUCUUUUCAAGUCGCCGCCCCCUUUUUCUGGCCAAACCAAAGGGCCCCUUUUGCUUUUGUUUUUCCCUCAUAGACCUUCUCUUUCCUAGCCAACCAAAAGCAGAACUACCCUUUAUUAUAUUCCUCCUUAGCCAACAUAUUUCCCCUCUCGCAGCCAGCUCACUCUUCUCUUUCCCUUACUCUUCUCUUUUUUUUUUCCCUGCACAUAAGUCUCCUUUCUCCCCUCAGCCGCCAGCCACACCUAGAGCCUCUAUUUUCUCCCUCUCACAGACGCCGUCUCCAUUUUCUCUCCUUCCCCCCUUGCCAUUUCGACACCUCCCAUCUGGACCAGAGCCCGACUUUCCUUUCCUCCAUAGACAAGCCACACACUCGACCUUUCUUUUCUCUGUCAUUUUUCAUUUUCUGCAACCGCCAUCUCCUCCUGACCAACCUUCCAUCUCUCAGUCAUUCCCAGAAAAAGAAAAAAAAAGCCCGACCCAAUGUCUCAAUUUUAAAACCCCUUAAUCCAA
RNAcentral lists this long non-coding RNA (531 nucleotides) under Populus trichocarpa (black cottonwood). Its description in RNAcentral is "long non-coding RNA (PTRI_LNC003567)". The record is from RNAcentral. Lineage: Eukaryota; Viridiplantae; Streptophyta; Magnoliopsida; Malpighiales; Salicaceae.